GAUCAUGGCUCAGAUUGAACGCUGGCGGCAUGCUUUACACAUGCAAGUCGAACGGCAGCACAGGGAGCUUGCUCCCGGGUGGCGAGUGGCGCACGGGUGAGUAAUACAUCGGAACGUGUCCUGUUGUGGGGGAUAACUGCUCGAAAGGGUGGCUAAUACCGCAUGAGACCUGAGGGUGAAAGCGGGGGAUCACAAGACCUCGCGCAACUGGAGCGGCCGAUGCCCGA
This 227-nucleotide ribosomal RNA is filed under the name uncultured bacterium. RNAcentral describes it as "partial 16S ribosomal RNA". It matches the Rfam family "Bacterial small subunit ribosomal RNA", at positions 15 to 240 of the family's 1533-position model. The record is from RNAcentral.